This 463-nucleotide ribosomal RNA is filed under the name uncultured bacterium. RNAcentral's name for it is "bacterial SSU rRNA". It matches the Rfam family "Bacterial small subunit ribosomal RNA", at positions 28 to 510 of the family's 1533-position model. The record is from RNAcentral.
GACGAACGCUGGCGGCGUGCUUAACACAUGCAAGUCGAGCGGUAAGGCCCUUUCGGGGGUACGACGAGCGGCGAACGGGUGAGUAACACGUGGGUGACCUGCCCUCCAGCUCUGGGAUAAGCCUGGGAAACCGGGUCUAAUACUGGAUAUGACUCCAUGACGCAUGUUGUGGGGUGGAAAGCCUUGUGCGGCUGAGGAUGGGCCCGCGGCCUAUCAGCUUGUUGGUGGGGUGAGGCCUACCAAGGCGACGACGGGUAGCCGGCCUGAGAGGGCGACCGGCCACACUGGGACUGAGACACGGCCCAGACUCCUACGGGAGGCAGCAGUGGGGAAUAUUGGACAAUGGGCGCAAGCCUGAUCCAGCCAUGCCGCGUGAGUGAUGAAGGCCUUAGGGUUGUAAAGCUCUUUUGCCGGGACGAUAAUGACGGUACCCGGAGAAUAAGUCCCGGCUAACUUCGUGCCA